UCCCUUGUGGCUCAGACAGUAAAGCGUCUGCCUACAAUGCAGAAGACCCGGGUUUGAUCCCUGGAUCGGGAA
RNAcentral lists this transfer RNA (72 nucleotides) under Ovis aries (sheep). It matches the Rfam family "tRNA". From Rfam's summary of the family: Transfer RNA (tRNA) molecules are approximately 80 nucleotides in length. Their secondary structure includes four short double-helical elements and three loops (D, anti-codon, and T loops). Lineage: Eukaryota; Metazoa; Chordata; Mammalia; Artiodactyla; Bovidae. The record is from Rfam by way of RNAcentral.